UAGGUGUUAGCAAGUCUUGUUUAGGUACAA
This 30-nucleotide non-coding RNA is filed under the name Mus musculus (house mouse). Lineage: Eukaryota; Metazoa; Chordata; Mammalia; Rodentia; Muridae. The record is from RNAcentral.